RNAcentral lists this small RNA (28 nucleotides) under Bombyx mori (domestic silkworm). Its description in RNAcentral is "ovarian small RNA-9038". The record is from RNAcentral. Lineage: Eukaryota; Metazoa; Arthropoda; Insecta; Lepidoptera; Bombycidae.
UGUCGUGUGGUCAGUCUGACGAAGGUCC